This 460-nucleotide ribosomal RNA is filed under the name uncultured bacterium. RNAcentral describes it as "partial 16S ribosomal RNA". It matches the Rfam family "Bacterial small subunit ribosomal RNA", at positions 338 to 795 of the family's 1533-position model. The record is from RNAcentral.
CCUACGGGAGGCAGCAGUGAGGAAUAUUGGUCAAUGGACGAGAGUCUGAACCAGCCAAGUAGCGUGAAGGAUGACUGCCCUAUGGGUUGUAAACUUCUUUUAUAUGGGAAUAAAAUGUUCCACGUGUGGGAUUUUGUAUGUACCAUAUGAAUAAGGAUCGGCUAACUCCGUGCCAGCAGCCGCGGUAAUACGGAGGAUCCGAGCGUUAUCCGGAUUUAUUGGGUUUAAAGGGAGCGUAGGUGGAUUGUUAAGUCAGUUGUGAAAGUUUGCGGCUCAACCGUAAAAUUGCAGUUGAAACUGGCAGUCUUGAGUACAGUAGAGGUGGGCGGAAGUCGUGGUGUAGCGGUGAAAUGCUUAGAUAUCACGAAGAACUCCGAUUGCGAAGGCAGUUCACUGGACUGCAACUGACACUGAGGCUCGAAAGUGUGGGUAUCAAACAGGAUUAGAUACCGCAGUAGUC